This 440-nucleotide ribosomal RNA is filed under the name uncultured bacterium. Its description in RNAcentral is "partial 16S ribosomal RNA". It matches the Rfam family "Bacterial small subunit ribosomal RNA", at positions 338 to 795 of the family's 1533-position model. The record is from RNAcentral.
CCUACGGGAGGCAGCAGUGGGGAAUAUUGCACAAUGGGGGGAACCCUGAUGCAGCGACGCCGCGUGAGUGAAGAAGUAUUUCGGUAUGUAAAGCUCUAUCAGCAGGGGAGAAAAUGACGGUACCUGACUAAGAAGCCACGGCUAACUACGGUCCAGCAGCCGCGGUAAUACGAAGGGGGCAAGGGUUAUCCGGAUUUACUGGGGGUAAAGGGAGCGUAGACGGUUAUGAGAGGCUGGAGGGAAAGCCCAAGGCUCAACCAUGGGACUGCAUUGGAAACUGUAAAACUGGAGUGCAGGAGGGGUAGGCGGAAUUCCUGGUGUAGCGGUGAAAUGCGUAGAUAUUAGGAGGAACCCCAGUGGCGAAGGCGGCUUACUGGACUGUCACUGACGUUGAGGCUCGAAGGCGUGGGGAGCAAACAGGAUUAGAUACCCUAGUAGUC